UCUAAUGGAUAGCUUUAUUUUGAUAGAAAAAUAGAAAUAUAAAAGGAAAGAUGAUAAUGCCAUUCUUAAGAAAGCAGUUAAAAUUCUUGAAGGAAGAGUACAUCAAACUGUGAUUUAAAGCAGCAAAUAUGAAAGAUGAAGAAGUGGGAG
Long non-coding RNA from Centruroides sculpturatus (bark scorpion), 150 nucleotides. RefSeq lists it as uncharacterized. The transcript is spliced from 3 exons. The record is from RefSeq and is a predicted model, not a curated record. NCBI's taxonomy places the organism in Eukaryota, Metazoa, Arthropoda, Arachnida, Scorpiones, Buthidae.